GUUGAGCAAUCUAGAGAUGUC
Molecule: non-coding RNA, 21 nt
Filed under: Rattus norvegicus (Norway rat)
Lineage: Eukaryota; Metazoa; Chordata; Mammalia; Rodentia; Muridae
Source: RNAcentral